GACGAACGCUGGCGGCGUGCUUAACACAUGCAAGUCGAACGGAAAGGCCCUGCUUUUGUGGGGUGCUCGAGUGGCGAACGGGUGAGUAACACGUGAGUAACCUGCCCUUGACUUUGGGAUAACUUCAGGAAACUGGGGCUAAUACCGGAUAGGAGCUCCUGCUGCAUGGUGGGGGUUGGAAAGUUUCGGCGGUUGGGGAUGGACUCGCGGCUUAUCAGCUUGUUGGUGGGGUAGUGGCUUACCAAGGCUUUGACGGGUAGCCGGCCUGAGAGGGUGACCGGCCACAUUGGGACUGAGAUACGGCCCAGACUCCUACGGGAGGCAGCAGUGGGGAAUAUUGUACAAUGGGCGGAAGCCUGAUGCAGCAACGCCGCGUGCGGGAUGACGGCCUUCGGGUUGUAAACCGCUUUCGCCUGUGACGAAGCAUGAGUGACGGUAAUGGGUAAAGAAGCACCGGCUAACUACGUG
RNAcentral lists this ribosomal RNA (468 nucleotides) under uncultured bacterium. RNAcentral's name for it is "partial 16S ribosomal RNA". It matches the Rfam family "Bacterial small subunit ribosomal RNA", at positions 28 to 507 of the family's 1533-position model. The record is from RNAcentral.